RNAcentral lists this ribosomal RNA (445 nucleotides) under uncultured bacterium. RNAcentral describes it as "bacterial SSU rRNA". It matches the Rfam family "Bacterial small subunit ribosomal RNA", at positions 354 to 796 of the family's 1533-position model. The record is from RNAcentral.
GUGAGGAAUAUUGCGCAAUGGAGGCAACUCUGACGCAGCCAUGCCGCGUGCAGGAAGAAGGCGCUACGCGUUGUAAACUGCUUUUAACCGGGAAGAAACCCCAGGACGUGUCCUGGGUUGACGGUACCGGAGGAAUAAGCACCGGCUAACUUCGUGCCAGCAGCCGCGGUAAUACGAAGGGUGCAAGCGUUAUCCGGAUUCAUUGGGUUUAAAGGGUGCGUAGGCGGAGCGUUAAGUCAGUGGUGAAAUCCUGCAGCUUAACUGUAGACUUGCCAUUGAUACUGGCGCUCUUGAGUGUGCUUGAAGUGGGCGGAAUGUGCCGUGUAGCGGUGAAAUGCUUAGAUAUGGCACAGAACACCAAUUGCGAAGGCAGCUCACUAAGGCGAUACUGACGCUGAGGCACGAAAGCGUGGGGAUCGAACAGGAUUAGAUACCCGGGUAGUCC